This 73-nucleotide transfer RNA is filed under the name Candidatus Kuenenbacteria bacterium HGW-Kuenenbacteria-1. Its description in RNAcentral is "tRNA-Lys". It matches the Rfam family "tRNA". Rfam says of the family: Transfer RNA (tRNA) molecules are approximately 80 nucleotides in length. Their secondary structure includes four short double-helical elements and three loops (D, anti-codon, and T loops). The record is from RNAcentral. Lineage: Bacteria; Candidatus Kueneniibacteriota. RNAcentral also lists the same sequence under 1 other name.
GCGCCGUUAGCUCAGUUGGUAGAGCAACAGCCUUUUAAGCUGAUGGUCGCAGGUUCGAAUCCUGCACGGCGCA